RNAcentral lists this transfer RNA (69 nucleotides) under Bos taurus (domestic cattle). It matches the Rfam family "tRNA". From Rfam's summary of the family: Transfer RNA (tRNA) molecules are approximately 80 nucleotides in length. Their secondary structure includes four short double-helical elements and three loops (D, anti-codon, and T loops). Further hydrogen bonds mediate the characteristic L-shaped molecular structure. tRNAs have two regions of fundamental functional importance: the anti-codon, which is responsible for specific mRNA codon recognition, and the 3' end, to which the tRNAs corresponding amino acid is attached (by aminoacyl-tRNA synthetases). tRNAs cope with the degeneracy of the genetic code in two manners: having more than one tRNA (with a specific anti-codon) for a particular amino acid; and 'wobble' base-pairing, i.e. permitting non-standard base-pairing at the 3rd anti-codon position. Lineage: Eukaryota; Metazoa; Chordata; Mammalia; Artiodactyla; Bovidae. The record is from Rfam by way of RNAcentral. RNAcentral also lists the same sequence under 5 other names.
CCUGGUGGCUUAGAUGGUAAAGAAUCUGCCUGCAAAGCAGGAGACCCAGGUUCAACCCCUGGGUCAGGA